AGCUUUGGUCCUUUCUAUUCAGAGCCUUGUCUGUUCUUGUUUAGUUUGUGAGGUGUUUCUUACCUUUUUUGCUAAUGGUUGUGCUUCCACUACUUUAGGCAUGUAUCUUCCUGAUUCUUGGUGACUUUGGCCUUCCGAUUAUUAUUCUCCCCCUGGUCCACUUUUUUGGUUAUUUGCGUUGGUGCUUGAUCGCGCUUAUUUUUGUUCGGAGGAUUGGUUUGUUUCAGAUUUUAUCUUUCUAUCUUUUUUUUAUUUUUACUUGUUAUGGCCAAGACACUUUAUGGUACAAUGAGGUAAGUUAGUCAUCGUUCUUGAUCUCCUUUCAGCUCUAGACCUCUAUUGAAUUAGUGUUACUAUGACAUUUUGUAUAAUGGAGGUUUUAGGUUUAAAUUUUGUGUUGUGCUCUCGUUUCUUAUUUUUAGUUUGGUUAUUUUAUAACUUUAAUACUAAAAUAAAUAUAUAGUUUGUAAAAAGAAAUAAUAGAAAAUAAUAAAAAUAAUAAAAUGAAGAUAAUUUAUGCUAUUUUUAGU
RNAcentral lists this long non-coding RNA (530 nucleotides) under Brassica napus (rape). Its description in RNAcentral is "long non-coding RNA (BNAP_LNC010002)". The record is from RNAcentral. Lineage: Eukaryota; Viridiplantae; Streptophyta; Magnoliopsida; Brassicales; Brassicaceae.